UUUGGAAGAGAAAUUUUCCUAAUUGAUAUAAAUUAAUAAUACUUGUAAAUACUUGGGAGAUCGGUUGGUUUUGUGAAUAAUGUGUUUGAGAUAUUGCAUGGAUUAAAUGAAUUGUUUCGAGAGAAAGGACGCAGUUUCUCUGGAAAAAGUAAAAGUUGCAGGUAAAAAAUGACGAAAGAAAAAAUGAGAAAAAGAUGCAAAAAGAAAAAUAAAAAAUAUUUUUAAGAAGACAAAAUGUGAAAAGUGGCGAGGAUUUUAAAUUGGCACAUAGGAUGGAACAUAGGAUUUACUAGAGUGACAAUAGAUAAAAUAUGGUGGUAUAAUACCUAGACAUAGAGUGAAAAGAAUUGAUUUCCAAUUUCGGCAACCAAACCUAGCUUACGUGGUUCGCAUUUUCAUAUCACAGAAUCGUUUAAAAUAUAGCGAAGAGAAUAUAAAGGUAAAAUUGAAUUCAGCAUUCUGUUAUAUUUCAAACGCAAACCAAUAUUUGUUGCACAGAUUUGUUUAACAAUCAAUUCAAAUAAUGCAGUUUUGCGGAUAACAAUACGGCUUCCGACUGUGCAUUGGCUGUUACACUAGCGCGAAGCUAUUCAAUUUAUCUAUAGAAAAGAUAUCAUGUCCAACAUGGUGAUCAAGAAAUUAAAAUCGAAGAGGAAAUUGAGGGAAAGCUAUUAAACUUUAAACUACAGAGAGAAGCACUCAUACGAUCCUAGUAAUAAUUCGACGUGGUUAAAUACCAAUCAGGAAAAUUUAGCAACGACCGGUUUAUCGGAUCGUUCUAAACGUAGAACUGUUCUUCGAACUUCUAGAGCAGAAAAGAAAAUUGCCUGCAUAUACCGGUUGCGAGCAAAUUUCAAGCGCCUUUUCCAAACGCGAAAUAUUCACGUCAGCUUGAACGAAACAGGAUCGAGAGAAGUGAGAGGCGGCGUGCUUAUAGUAUGUAUAUGGUGGCGCGAUCUUAUGCAAUCUCAUGAUAGGAAUCAUGGGUCAGUCACUUGGUCGGCUCAUGGUGCUUCCAUGCGUUAUGAUUCUCCAGCCAGGAAGAAAAACUGUCGUACGGCAGAUACCUAUGUCUUCGAUAAAAGCUAUGUCCUAAUAACAGCUCGCAAUUCUUUGAGUAGAACUUAAUGAAAAGAUAUUAAUAGAAGCGUUAUAUAACGGUAUAACAUCGUCUACUACAACUACCGCAUUAUUAUAGUUAGUAGAAUAUCAUUAUUAAGUGUAUGACUUUUCCCGUUUUGCCAGAAAACUAGCGUUUACGGAUUCCACUAUUGGCAUAAAUGAUACAUAAUGGUAAUAGUACAGUACAUGAUUGCUGAUGGAAGAAAGAUGAUGGCAGUUGGAAUUAUAGAAAUUAGAGUAUGGCAUAUAUUGCAUGGAUGAAUAUGGAAUAUGAUUUGGAGAGGUUAAGAUAACGAGAAUGCGGGUGAUUAGAUCUGAUGUUGAUUAGUUAGUAAAUUAUAUGAUAAAGAAAGCGUAUAUAGUCUAAAUAGGUUACUCUGUUAUAAUAAUUCAUAUUAGAUACAUAUACAUAUGUAUGUAUGUAUCCUUUUAUUCUUAUCAUAUCAAGGGAUUAGAUUUGAUGUUGGUUGUUCAAUUAUUAAAUUGAAAUUGAUAUCAUACGAAUAGAGAAACAUAUAGUAAAUGUUUAAUAAAUUUUAUCUAUGGAUUUUUUCAAAGUUUAUUGAUAUAAACGUUUGCCUUUUGUUGAAAUAUGUAUACGUUCUUCUGGUGUCCUGUGUACUUAGCUCAGAGUAUUCAAGCAAAGUAAUCUAAUUACUGUAUACAUAUUCUCUUUAUCAUAUAAAAAGAAAUAAAAUAUCUUAACUUUUUUGUGUUUUCUAAGAGAUUAGAUUUAAAUACAUGAAAGACUCAUUCUUCACAGAGGGAAAAAAGUCCUAUUCCAAUUUUAGAAAGUAACACAGAGAAAGAUUUUGUGCUCGAAAGUUAUAAAGUAUUGAUUAUCGAUUGAAUGGCGAUUGAAUUUUUCUUUAUUUUUCCGCUUAGGACGAUUUUCUUCAACUUGAUUGAACUUUUAAUAGAACAAUCAGAUAUUAGAAUGUAUUACAAUGAUAAGAUUCAAAAGUUAAGAGAACUGACAUAUUAAUCAAAUUAUCACGGAAUGUAGAUUUGUAGAUCUGAAUGUAAAUUUUGUGAGACGAUUGUUGACUAUAUGGAGUUAGAGAAUAGAAAGUGAAUGUAUUGAUGAAUAAUGCUUCUAUAGUAACUACCAGUGAGAUUGAUGUAAAAUCGAAUAACUAGAAUUGCUGCUCAGCGAACGUCCUUGAAAUUCAUCCUCUCACUCCUACUUCUAUAGAAAAUUACAUUCCUAACCUUCUCCAUCAAACAAGCGUCAUCUUAAACAUAUCAAGUUAAAAUUUAUGGUAAGCCAAUCAUUAUAAUUCCAAUACUAAAAAAAUUAACUCCAGCUAACUUCCAAGAUUAUUUCUAUUGUAUAUCCUCGAAAAGUUUUGUCAGAUAUAAAAAAGAGGUAAUAAAUAUUUUUUUAGAACUACAGAAUGAUGCAGAAGUUCCAAAUAUGUUUUAUGAUGCCCAUAAAAUUUUAUCACAAUUUUUCUCUUGUUACUUUCAAUAGUCUCUUUUGAAUAAAAGAAAAUAUAUUAAAAAUUAUAUACUUAUAAAAAAGAAAAAUCAUGAUAAGAACUGCGUUACUUUUGCAUUACCUUAUACAUCAAAUAUAAUUCUCAUCAAAUUGAAAUUGAUAAUCUACCCUUGAAAAUUCCCUCUUAUUAAAAUAUUCGAGAUUAAUUACUAAUUGCAGUCUUAUCGCAGUGUUACCAACCUAUGUAACGCACGUUACAGAUUACAAAAUGUACGAGACGAUGCAGAGAAUGACAUGUUAUCUGGAGUUAUUCAAUAGAGAGGGCAGGUGUCUUCUACUGGUCGAACCGCUCAAGUACAUGGGAGUAGAAUGGUUAUGGGUGCUGUGUAAUCAUCAGCUCGCCGUGUAUCCGGGCAUUGAAUUCGAGGAUUCUCCCCGACCUCUUCAGAUCCCCUCCUCAUUGUACGCUGCUUUGGUUACUUGUCUUUCGCAAGAUGAAUGGCCAGGACCGUGUACAUCCAAUCACCAGGGAGAAACGAUCAAACCUGUAAUCGAUUCUGUAGAGAUAACACUUGAUUUUGUAAUCCUUUAUUACGAGAUAAUUUUGUUUAUUACAUAAAGCUAGGUAUCUAGGAAAUUUCGGAGAAUUAGUAAUUCUGUGAAAUUAAUAGCUGAUUUUUUUAAUUUUUACUACAUGAUAUUUUUCUUUUUUAUCAUAGAAAAACUGGAUGUCAAUGAAACUUUAGAAAUUUGAGUGAUUGAAAAUUUAUUGAUUUUGGAGAAUUUAAGAUCAUAAAAGUAACAAUUGAUUUAUCUUACAAAUUGCCUUUAUAUUAUAAAAGUAGGAUACUUAAAAAAUUCUUUAAAUUUAUGGCAAUUUACAAAUAAGAUCGGUUUAUGUUAGCAUAAAAUAUCGAUCUAUAAUAUGGUUAUAGCAGGUCAAUUUACAUACUUCUUUAUUAAGGAGAUCAAUAAAAUGGGGGAUUUACGAGAGUUUUGAAACAAGGCAUCGAUAGCUACCUUGGUCCGUGAUGUGGGACAGAACAGGAAGAAACGACAAUGACGUCUAUAGAUGUGACGCCAAUUCGUUUCUUGGCAAUGUACAGAAACACAUAAUCUUGAUUGUAUCUAGUCUUUAUAGCCGUUUGGUAUAAACUCAUUCCCAUUUUAUUGCAUUUAUGUCCUUACUAUCGAUUUGAAAAUCAAUCUUUUUCUUUAUUUUAAUAAUUCUCUAUAUAUACAAAUAAUUUCUAUAAUCUUAAAUAAAUGAAGAAAUAAUUAUACAAAUAGCUGAGAGUUCCUAAGGUUUUUGAUGGCAUAUUCAUGCGUAGGAAAUCAUUUGGUUUACAUGUACAGACAUUGAAACACAAGUACUUACGUAUGUAUAUACGAGACACAGCAAGUACACGUACCUAAUCGGAUUUUUCUGCGUGGUACCGGUGAAAGGGAAAAGAUACCGGCGCGGUGCGGUAGUCUGGCAGGCCUAGAUACCCAAGAUCUGUCUGUCCUCUCAUUUAUAUUCAGCAAAGUUCACGUUAUUUUAAGAUUUUCAUCUUCCAUAGAAUGUUUGCUUUCCUUCUCAUUUUGUUUAUUUGUAGGUUACUACCAUGGUACUACAUGUUGUAGCAAAUUGUAAAAUAUCAAUGAAGAGAAAGCUAUAGUUAUUCUUUGUUUAUCUGUAAUGGAGAUCAAGACAAAAACUUCCACCUAGUAAUUGAUCAUUAAAGUUGUCAAAAUACUAUACAAACAUAACAUUGAUACAUAAUAAUUAUUAUUAUGGUAUAUAUGGGAUAUUAUGGUAAUACCAUAAUAAUCAACAUAUAAAUCAACAUAUAACAAAGAAGAUUCUAUAGAAAAGCAAAUAAACAUCGCCCCCAGGAAAAAGAUAAAGCUACUCGAUCUCAAACUCUUUACACACUCAAACAACGUAAUAUCGUAACAAUUAAGUGACAAUAAAGAAGAUUAGAUUCCAUUGUUAAACGUCGUGUCUGGCAAAACACAUGUACUACGUGACGAACUGAUAUUAGUCAAACGCACAAGAAUUUAGAAAGUAACGGGUCACUUACGAGCCUCAAUUACUCUCAACAUCGAACGAUACGUUUGCAAAACGUUUUAAUAUUUCAAAGUACCGAGGGAAGGUCUCAGCUUAGAAAGUAUACGAUUUUUAUCUCACGGAUGAAUAAUAUUCCGACCAGGGAGCAUCGAUUCACCUGAGGGUGAUAAAACGAAUCGUAAAUUUCUCUUACUUUCACUCUCGUUCGUUUACAUUGUUACGGAUAAUCGAUCGAAUGUAGUUUGCUGAUUAGAACGGAUUACCAGGUAUCCUUGCGAGAUUAACCUAACAAUGAUAAAGCUUCCCUUCGUCAGUUUGGAUUUCAUACUUUAUCUUCAUUUUGUCUUCUUCGUCCAUUCUUUGUUUCCAUUUUAUUGAUUUUUAGAUUGUUUUUAUCAAAUUUCUUUUCCUUUUCAUUUUUAUUUAUAUUUUUUCUCCCGAUAUCUUUUAUACUUUUUAGUAUUUUUAGUUUCAUUGCUAUAUCUCUCAAUUUCUCUGUCAACUUUGUUUUCUUUUACUGUGUUCAUUAUAUUCGUUCCCUUCCUUUUGACUUUCUACGUAUAUCAUAUCUAUAUUAUAGGGAAUCGAUUUCUUUUUCUUACAUAUAAAACAAUUCACUAAACGCUGUUAACAGAUCUCGCUCUUAUGAAAUUGCUGAUGUUUCUAACCAAUGACUCUAGUUAUCUCUUUCUAUCAUUAUACAAUUUAAUCUCUCCUAAGUUUUGCUACAUCGAACUUAAUUUUACUUUUUAAUACAUUUCCACAAAUUCUAAAUAAAAAAAGACAACCAUAUCUCAUGUCCUUUAUCAACCAGUUUUACUCUUUUCCCAGCGAGAGGGGCCCUCAAUAAAACUCCUAAUUAAUGAACUUUGUAACCAACAAAAAUAACCCGAAAGUCUAUAUCAUUUUUCUUCAUUAUCUCCAACAAGCUUCUAGCGAAACCGAAAGCGAAAAGCUAGGAUUAAAAGGAAAAAAGGAAGUCGUAUCGUGCAAGCUAAUUUUGGUGAACGUGUUUCCGCGAUGGCACACGGAAACAACCUGAGGCAACCAGCCCAUCAAACUAACCGCCUUUCUUCCUCCUGGUACUAGAAAGCUUCCAUGGAAUUACACAAAAUUACAAUCGGACGUCAAGCUUGGCCUUUUCUAUUCCUAUCCCAUUCUUCGCCCGUAUUGCGUUACAUCUGGAGGAUACACGAAGUCCUAGAAACGAUGGAUUACCAUCAUGAAUCUAAUUGAUUGCGAAGACAAUGGAUUUUUCUAUCUGUGACAACAUUGCCUCCACUUUGGGGAUCGUCGUAGGUGAAAGCGAGACAAAUUCCUCCACUGUGCCCAGCCCCCUACUGCUCUUUCUCUGUAAUUACUUUAAUAAUCCACCUUCGUAUCAACCUUAUUUCCAAUGUCCUAGGAACUCCUUUCCCUGGCCACACAGCUUAGGUUGUUUCUUAAGUUUGUCUGGACGAUAGAUGUGACAUCAUAUUAUUGAUAAAAUAUAAGAUUAAGUGCGAAAUUGCAAUUUUGUUUUACAUUUUACUUAAGAAGUUUAACUGUCAAUACAUAAUCUUCAAAAGGAAAGGACAUUUCCAUGUUUCAUUUUCUGCAGACAUUCCCACGACAAUAUCCAUCAUCUUUUCAUCCAUUCAUAUUCUCUCAAACAUUUCAAGUAUUCCAUCAUUGUUCAUUCAAUUACGAUUGCACCAUAGAGACUCGUUUCUGCAAACACUUAACGCAACAUGAUCUUUUAAGAGUGAUGACAAUAUUUUACAAAUGGUGUUUGAUGCUUUUCACAGAACUUCCAUUUUCUAUAUUACUAACAACCUUGGUUGGAAGCCCCCAAAAAGAAAAAAAAAUACAAUUUGCGACUACCUUUAGGAAACAAUAAAAUUACGGGUAUCUACCGCUGGAAGAAGUUGUUAUAAAAAAAUGAAACGACCUGUUUAUGUUCUUAAUUAAUAGUUGUAUGUAUCAUUAAAUUUUCAGUACUGUAAUACCGUAGAAUAGUUCCAGUAAUUUUUGCGUCGUCUAAUUUAAUAGUUAAUUAAAUUCUUUGAUCAUUAAAUUUGGAUUUUUUAAGUGGUUGAUUUUGAGAAAGAAAGAUUUUUAAAAGUCAAGUUACUAAUUACAAAAAGUUUAAGUUGAAAUUCUUUUAAAAUUAGGCUACAAAUUCAAAAAGUUUGAAAUGUAAAUUUAAGAAAUUUCUAGGUUUCCUUGUAGAGUAUAAUUUAUAAGCAGAGAACUUGAUGUCCGACCAUGUGACCACAAGCAAACCUAUUCUACUUGUCCCAACUGAAUUCCUAGAGUUUCAUUUCUAAAUUCAAAAACAAAUCAUAAAAUCAUAAAAUGUGAAAAUAGUAAGAAAUUGUGUAACAAGUUUUGUCAAAAAUAUUUUAAAGACAUUAUAUUUAAAAAAUAUAUUAUAUAAUAAAACUUAGAAAUAUUGUAUACAUGUACAUAGAUAGCAUUUGAUAUUACUCUACGUUCAAAAAUUGCACGCUACUGUGCCACAUUCCAAUUAAACUGUAUUAAAAGCUAUAUAACGAAGAGAGAGACGACGAGAAUUGUUUAAUUUAGGUAAUAACGAAGUAUAGCUCGAAAAGUUAUGGCAUGCAAGAAUGUUAACCUCUUCAACUAAAAUUACAGACUACUUCAUUAUUGUUUUCGUGAUUACACUAACGUCGACGAACUCUACCGUUGAACUGCGCUGAUUGCACUUGAUUGUCUCGAAUGAAUAUUAUCUUCGUGUAUCAACUCGUUUUAAACGAUUAAAGUUUGAAUUGACAACUAUGUACCUUAAGUGAAGCGCGUUACACGCAUUCAUCGCCUUACCACGAACGGAAGAGGCAAUUACGUUAAUUAGCUUUCAUGGUGCAUUUUUAACGCGUGUUACAACGCCAUCUUGGUAAAAAAAGGCCAGGUAAAUCUGUCUUGCUUCUCUGGAUAAAAUACUACUCUUUAGAAAAAAAUGUAUGACUUAAUUGCUUGAUAAUUAUUUACGAAACGACUUAACUCUCUGAGGUUAAUGAUCUUGAGAUACACUGUCAAGGUCACGGAUAAUUUUUUACAUAACCAUUACUAAAGCCUAAUUUCAAAGAUAUGGAAAAUAUUUUGAAAUAAGUUAAAUUUAGAUCAAACAAUUAAUAUUAUAUUAAUAUGCGAUCAUUACAUAGCAUUAUAAUAUGAUGUUAUGUUUGACCUCGAUCAAUGAAUCGGUAAAUCGUAAAGGAUGAGAUUGUAAUUACCUUGUUCCAGAUACUAAUUGCUGUAAUAAAAUAUUUCCAUUUGCUUUAUUUGACUUUAAAGAUUGAGUUUCUAUACAUUAUCGUUUUUUAUUACCUCAGUGAUUUGUUGUUUUCUAUAAAAAUGUGUAGUUGAUAUGGUUCAAUUCUCUGAAGAAUAAAAAUGGAAAAAGCAGAAUGAGUCAUAGUGAAAGAUACUUUCUAAAACUGAUGCUUCCCAAUUACAAUCCGCCAUUAAAAAUUUUCGUGUUGCCUUUAACUUAUAUGAUUGGUUAGGAAGAACAAGAUCUAUCAUAUUUUAGAAUCUCUGUUAACCUGAAAAUAAAAAACUAGUAUCGGAACUUCUUCCCUUAACUCAUUUAUUAUCUAAUAAAAUACUUAUUAACCAAAAAACGACAUCGCAGGAUAACAAAAUAUCUCUGUGAAUAGGUAUAUAAAAUUCACACAAAUUGUUCAGCCUUAAAAAGUAUUUUACGUAACUUGUGCAGUUCUCGAAGCCGCAAAAAACUUUCACCGCAUUGAAACACGACCAUAAGCACAAAAAAGGAGCAUGACCAGGAUCCAUAUUUACAUAUCUUCUGGAUUUUUCAAUUUUUCGAACAUCUUAAAUUCUGUCUUUGUAGGCGUAUAUUUAUUUGUGUGUUAAAUUAUAAAAAAAAAGAUGAAGUUCCUUUUUACUUUGCCAUUUUCACGAUUCGGACACACUGAACAGAAUGAAUUAGUUACCACCAUCGUCGUAUGUUGGUUCUGGAGAUUCGUAGGCGUACAAAUUGAAUAGCGACAGGUAAGCUAAGAGCAGGAGAAAGAAUCAGGAAGAGAGAAGAUCGGCACGCGUACAAGGUGAGGUCAACGCGCCGCGCCGUGGAUGAGCAAUGAACUUGACCGGAAGUGGGUCAGGGACAGUCAGGGUAAACCUUCCUCGAGCUCGAUAAGCAUCCUUCGUAGCGCCGCAUCGCGAUCCUUCUAGUAUGACCAAUGAUUGGGUUUACGAAUAGGUGACGAACUGGGUUUAUGUAGUAAUGAAGAACUGUACAUUAGCCUGAAAGUGUUAUGUGUUUUAAUAAAUAUUUUCUAAUGUGAAAAUAGAAACUUCUAUUGAAAAUAUCAUAGAUAUUCUAUGAGAUAUGAUAUGAGAUAUGAUAAAAUAAGUGAACAAAUAGUGGGAGUACUUAGGUAUUGAAGAGGUUUAAUCGGGCUACUGCUAGUGUUGCAUAGUUAAGUUUUAUUUAUCAUAUAUCCUUAUAGAUUAUUUAAUCAAUAACUGAAAUUAAUAUUUACGUAAACAAGCUGAAUUUAACGUAACUUCGUUGAUAUCUAUUUCCACCAUCUGUCCAUUUAGUUUUGUGUGCGACUAUAUCUUGAUUAUUUAGAUGCAUGAGAUAUUUGGAUAUAACACUUGCAUAUUUUAGAUACUUCAACUACUAGUGACUAACAUACAGUAUAUAUUUAGUAACCUUGAGUACCUCAAAUAAUUUAGCUACUUUAUCUAGAUAUGUGUUACGAAACAGUUUCAAAUACCCCAAAAGCAUCAUGAAUCUUUAAUAUUUAAGGUAUAAAGUAUUUGUUACCUCGACACGAAUUAUGGAGUUGUUCCAUAUAACGACAUAGUAACAAAUAUUUAAUCCAUCUUCAUUAUUCAUACAUAAGAAACUUCUAUACAUACAAUCCGUUCCUUAAAACAAAGUAUCUUGCAUAAUUACAGUAGUGCAGUUUGUACGCAAUAAUCAAAUAUGUGAUAGAAUAUAAGUAAAAUCCAUACAAUUAUUAAUAAACACAAUGUAGCCAUAAUCAGAUUUCUUCGUAUCAUAUUUUAUCGGCAGAUUAUCCUACUCGAGCAACAGAAAACUUUUUGGAAAUUUCAGUCAAACUACAAUAAAAUGUAGGUUAGGUCAUACAACACAAUAAUUUCUUUUCUGAUGACUAGAGUAUACAAAUCUACUUUUAUUGAAUAAUUAAGCUUUGAGGAUAAAUACUACAUACUAUAAUACUAAUAUACAUAACAUAUGUACUAGUUUAUUGUAUCUCACAUAUUUAUCUAUAAAGAAACGUUUUUUCUUCAUAUGUACGUAGAUUAAUAUUAUAACUACCAAAAUUUUUGAUAAUAUUAAAGUUUACUGUUAUUGGUACAGGAACUUGAUUAUAUAUAUGCUUAUAUGUUAUCAACAUAUUGCUGUAAUAUUAAUUAACUAUGUAUAACAUAUUUAGGUACACAUUAUAGUUUGGCAGUUCUAGCGUUACAACACAAACACACGCUCUAGCGUUCAAAAUAAAAAAUACACACCCCGUGAGAAACUCAGACGGAAUUUCAGCUACGAUAAAGGUCAGUCGCGUAACAAUGCUAAACUCUAACUUCCUUGUAUGGAAUCGAUUCGACUGUUACACCCUUUCUCAGCAAAAUUUGCUUGGGUAACGAAAUUCGUCUGAUGUUCAUCGAAAAGUGGAUCACAUAACGUGAAACCUUCGACUUGGAAUUUUAAUUCGUAUUGCGUCACGCGCUCGUUGCGCGUGUAAUUGAAAUAUGCGGGCAAAUAACAAUUACGGAAAUGGAGAACAAUAGUAUGGACUAACGAAGAACUGUGAGAUUUUACUUACGUUUGACCUUUUUUAAUAGUUUGUAUUCCUAUUAUUAUUUUGUUAUAGUAGCAGUACAGAUAUUUUAGUUAUUUUUCAAUUCUUUUAUUGCCGUUCCUAAUUGUUAUUUACAACUCUUCACAUCUAUUUCUAAAUAUCUGCAAUAUAUUUAUAAGAUUAUUGGAUGAAAAUAUAAUCCUUUGGAAUAUAAAAGAUAUAGAUUAAGGUCACAUAUAUUUUCUUAAGGGGGAAGUAUGGAAGAUAAGAGAAUUUGUUAGAUCUCUAAAUAGCCUUCUAAUCUAAAUAUUCUAAGACGACUACUUAACCUAAUUGUUGUAAUUUUUCUUCAACAAAGAAAAGAAAUCCAAGUAAUGGUGAACAUUGUUAGGCAAUUUGUUAGUAUAGAAACUCGUUUUUACGAAUGUUGUUUUUAAACACGAUUAACGUAUAAUUUAUUCUCGGUCUUGACGAAGCUGUAGGCAGAAGAAAACUGAACGGAUUCUUGUUCAAUUACCAUUCCAUUACAUAGGGUUAUCCUGUUUGCGGAAAGUUCGUUCUUCGCGAAGAAUCUCGAGCAUCUGAUCGAGCUUUUAUGAUUUCUGUCGCAGGCUGAUUCAUGGUUUUCAUUAAACUUUUGUUUGCGAUGAGUUUCCAAUAUCUAGGAUGAUUUUUGCAAACGGACAACCCAAUCAAAAGAGGAUAUUGUCUUUCUUUAUCAAAAGAUUAACUUUGAUUUAACUAAAAAUUCAUAAAAAAUCUAUGAAAAAUUUGUUUAAUAAUAAAUAUAUCAUUGAUAAUAAUAAAAAGAGCUAAUAAAAAUGUUAUUAUAUAUAAAUGAAAAUUGUAUUUAAAAAUAUAUGAAUGAGAAAGAUUUGAAAAAAUGAUUUUUGUAGUUAGGCGUGUUUGCUUACUUAAGUACACAAAUACUGGGAUAGGUUACACUUAAUAAUAGAUAAAAAUUUCUCAUGGGAAAGAUCUUGACCCGUAUAAGUCGACAUUUCACGAUACAGAUAGUUACGAGAUUAGACUUAUAUCUAGGAGUAAAAUUGCAUUGCCAAUUGCACAAUUCUUUUACAUUCUUUUAGUAUCUUUAUAACACUAUGUUGUAAAUUAUGAGAGAUAGCAUUAUUUAUAAAUAUAGUACUUAAUGUUACAAUGUUACUAUUGUUCAAAAUUACUUGAAUAGUUUAACUCUAUUCAAAAUAAAAAAUAUUUUUACGUAUAAAUAUAAAAUUAAAACGUAGUGUUUAAUUAAAAACUAAAUUUGAAAUACAAAUAAUAAAUUAAAUCUAUUAAAACAUUAAUCUUGAUAAAAUAAAAUACCAUAAAAUAAACGAUCCUGUGAUUACUUGAAUCAGGUAUCAAAUAAUAUUUUGUUGAGCAUAAAUAGAAAUUGCAUUAAAGUUCUACUCACGAGACUAUUACGGUGCAUUCAAAACAUAAUUCAUCGUUCCCUGAAUGGCCUAAUACACAUGUAAUAAAACAUUCGCAUGUCAGUCACGUUCCAUGACAUUGAAUAAUAUUUGAUUAUACCGUGACAGAUUCGUAAGCAUAUGAUGACCAUGUCAUCGGCGUUUGUUGAAUAUUUAAUGACAUUGCAUUAUAAUUUAACAUAUUACUGUUCAACAUUGUAAAUUUUGGAAACUUUCAAAUUUCAAUUGAUUUCUCUUUUACAAUUCUCUUAUCGAUAUUACUAUUUUAUUUCCUUCCUUAUAAUUCCAAGUCUUCCUUUUGUUAACGAAAAAUAUCUCAUUUAAUUUCUACCACUGAAAAAAUUCAAAUUUUGAGAUCUAAAUUGAAUGUAUAGAUUGAAUUUUUAACGUUAGCUAAUCAACUAUUAACUAAUUUGUAAAAAAUGAGAAAUAAAAUUGAUCUACAAUCUUCAACGAUGUUAGAUAACGUGAACAAUGCUGUGAAAAUUACAACAUAAAAUUACCUUAUAAUCACUCUUUCAAAAGAAUGAUACCAUCAUUUUAUGUUUCAUUUCACUUUACAUCAAUUUAUCAAAAAGAAACAAUUCACUAUAAGCUACAUUAAUGGGGAGUAGAUGAAAAAUAAGUUAUUCGUGGAAACCUACCACCUUGAUGCUAUUUUUCAUUUUACCUUCCAUCAAUUUCUGGGAACGAGCUUCUGUUGUUGAAAUUUCACACUCAUAAAUCCUAAUCAAGAGAACGUUAAAAGACUGCUUUAUAAAAAUCCAAUAGAACAAAGGAACUCCACAGAACUAAACACUAACGACUUUCUCAUAUCACCAAUGUGCUAUCUCUGUUGCAACUUAGUGGUGGCCACUAAUUCGCCUUAUCUGGCCUUCCAGCUCGUUGUUACCGAAACGUCAAUCGGAUCGAGGUCACGGCCAGUGGAGAAAGUUUUCUAAUCACUUCCGUGGAAUGGUCCUCGAAUGAGUUCGUCCGCUGAAACGUGUAAAAAUAUCUAUGGUUCUGUUCUCGUGUGUUUAUCCAUACGUAUGUAUAAAGAUAAAUAAGAAUCGGUGCAAUGGAAUCUUACUUUCACAUUCACAUUUCUGUUGAAUCAAACCCACUUCUCUUUGUAGAGGUUAUGGGAAUCAUAAGAACUCUCCAAUCUCUUCAAUCCUAGCAAUGCAUGAGCAAUCGAAUAGCAAAGUACCCAAUUUUUAUAUUUAUUUUAACAAUUUUUGUAUUUCAUACAAAAUAUUAUACGAUCUCUUUGGAUACCGUAUUAAUUUUAAUUUUUUUCAUAGUAUAUUAAUAUAUACAAAAAUGUCCAAUAUUAAAGCUUCAGAUUUAUUGCUAGUUACACACUUAUUGAGUAAUCACCAAUUUGGCUGCCUACAAGUUGAGGUUAAUGGGUUAAAAGGGUAUAAGGAUCAAAAGUGUCUUUCUUGAUAUCGGAAAUUUCGGGUAGAUGUUCCUAAAAAAUAGGAAAAUUUAUUGGAAACAGAAAACUUCUGUAUAGAGAGAAAGUGGUAAUAGGAUUAAAUAAUAAUUCUUAAUUGAAAUGAAUUAAAUUUGAGACUUACUUUGAUGCAAAGUAAAAUUCCAUAAUAAGGUUGUGUAAUGAGAAUUUUUAUGAGACUGUUAAUAUUUUAUUAAUUAAACUGACACAGAAUGUGUUUGUUAAUUAUUAGGAAUUAGCAUUGAUAAAAAAGUUGAUUUCUCCUAUAACUGACAAUUUAUAAAGUUAUUAAAGUUAUAAAGUUAUUAUUAUGAAUAAAUAAAAGAAGUUUCUAUAUGAAUUCACUAUUAUACAUUUGCACGCAGAUGAAGCUCCAAAAAUCAUUUUCUAUACAAAUAUGAAGUAUAUAUGUAUAGCAAAAAUGAAAUGGUAUACUAAACGUAAAAAAGAAGAUCAAAGAACAAAGGGACUAUUGCAUACUUACACUCAAUUUAAUAUUAAAUUUCCUCCACUUUAAUAUUAUAUUUACAUAUUAUAAAAAAAAUCUUUAUCCAAAAUUGUUGUCCAUUAAUUGAUAAUAAUAUUAUCAAUCUUUUCCUGACAAUUUACUCUCUACUAUACUGCAAUAAUUCUUUGGUAUCAAAUAUUCUCUACAGAAGUUACAAAAAAUCAAAGUAAUCGACCAGCUCGCAGGAACAGAAUUACAAGAAUGCGACUAGACGAGACAGACGUGUUACUGGAGAGCAAACAAUUUAGAAAAUCACGAUUACCAGGUCAGGAGGAAUGAUGGAAAGAGAUAGAGAACGAUUUGUCGCGACGUAUCCGUUGAAUCCGGCUCGUGGAAUCGUGAAAACUGGACGUACUCAUAACUUUCUAUUGGUAUAUGAAAAUUUCAGCCGGGCGAACAUGGCCACCAGGCCCACAGCAUAAAAAAAAAGCGAAUUCAGGUUCUCACAAGUUGCAAAAUAUCUCUUCCUGUCGUGAAAGUUUCUUUCUAUCCAUGAUCCACUGCUUGUUUAAAAUACUGUUACGGUGACAAAAUGUGACAUUUGUCUUUUUCGCUUUAUUAUCGUUUUAUUCACUUAGAAAUUGAACGUAUAGGUGGAAAAGUUACUAUAUAAUUUAGUUGAUAUAUGAAAAUUAUAAUGUAUACCUGUUAUGUGAUUUUUUGGAUGGUGGAAUUGGUUUCAAAGUGUCUGGUUAGAGGAAAAGUGGUUGUUGGCAGCUAUGCAAUAUGUUUUGACUUUUUUGAUGAUGAUGACACUGCAAAAAUUUUUUUGUAGUACGUUUUUCAUGUUCUUUAUCCUCUUUUUAUUUAAUGUAAUAUUUUAACCUAUGUUUUCUAGCUAAAAUAAUAGUCUUCAAUAAAUUGAAGAAAUAUCUUUAUACAAAAAUCAUGUUCCAAUACAUAAAUCAAUUUAUUAUAAGACUUUUAUAUUGGAAAGAAAAAAGAAGUACUUAAAUUAAUAACAGAAAUUACAGAUUUUUUUAUUUUCUCAUUUCAAAUUAGAAGUAAGAAAAUAUGUACAUAUUAAUGCAGAAUAUGGUAUUUCAUUAAAUAAAUUAAUUUAUCAUAGGAAUUAAAUUCCAUCUAUUCUAGUCAUUUAAUACUUUCCGAGGAGAAAUAUCUGUACUUAGACAGCUGGAUCGAUGCUUCCUCAAUGAGAUCCAAAUCACCGAGUCAAUCUCGACCUCGACUUUCACCCUCGCGCAAGGUCUAGGACACUCAGGUAACACGGAUCUUCUUCCUAUGAAUGAAGAAUCCUUCGUGGUCAUCAAGAAACUGGUUUGAAAUGUGUCUUUAAAGUUUCUUAAAUAAUAGUCGCUUCCUCAAUGUCAAGAGAGGCAUUAAGGAAUUGAGAUAUUCAUACAAGUAACUAUUCUUAUUAUUUUGUUACAAAAUAAAUAUUUCAAUAUUUUAGCAUAGAAAUUAUAAAAGCACUUGGAUCAAUUAAGUAAGUAUUUCUAUAAGAUAAUCUUUUUAAUAAAAAAAACAACUGUAAUAGAUAUAAAGUAUCAUUUCUUUUGAAAAUAUAAUUAAUACAUUAAUAAUUGCUGCUGAAAUAAUUAAUAAGUACUGUAAUGAUCUAAUUGGUUGCUAUUUUCCUCUACAAAUCGAAAGGAGUUUUUCCUUUUUAAUAGUGACAGCCUGCUUAUUCUUUUCUGUUCUAUUAACAAAAAACCAACAAAUUGGGUCAAAUCCUGUUAGUUUUAUACUCGGACGAUCGUAACAAAGGAAAUUGUGUUAGCGGAGUGCGUCAUACUGUACCGAAGGAAUUCUCGAAGAGAGGGACGAAAAAUGGAAAUAUGCCGUUCUUUACUGACGGCUCAACGAACCGGCUUAUCGCAUAUUUGUAUAUACCAAAAAUUGCUCAAAUUAGCAUAAAAAGAAAUGUAGUUCUCUCAAUGGCAUGUCGGUAGAGAAAUGAUAGAUGUAAUUGAAAAAUAACUUUCCAAAAAAUGUUCUACUGUAUUUUUGAAAUUUACUUACAAGAUCAAAGAAAAGAGAUUGUGAUUUGUAAAGGAAAUAUAUUGAAAAAUCGUUUUA
Long non-coding RNA from Bombus huntii, 15842 nucleotides. RefSeq lists it as uncharacterized. The record is from RefSeq and is a predicted model, not a curated record. The transcript is spliced from 11 exons. Lineage: Eukaryota; Metazoa; Arthropoda; Insecta; Hymenoptera; Apidae.